This 506-nucleotide ribosomal RNA is filed under the name uncultured bacterium. RNAcentral describes it as "partial 16S ribosomal RNA". It matches the Rfam family "Bacterial small subunit ribosomal RNA", at positions 29 to 523 of the family's 1533-position model. The record is from RNAcentral.
AUUGAACGCUGGCGGCAGGCCUAACACAUGCAAGUCGGACGGUAGCACAGAGGAGCUUGCUCCUCGGGUGACGAGUGGCGGACGGGUGAGUAAUGUCUGGGGAUCUGCCCGAUAGAGGGGGAUAACCACUGGAAACGGUGGCUAAUACCGCAUAACGUCGCAAGACCAAAGAGGGGGACCUUCGGGCCGCUCACUAUCGGAUGAACCCAGAUGGGAUUAGCUAGUAGGUGGGGUAAUGGCUCACCUAGGCGACGAUCCCUAGCUGGUCUGAGAGGAUGACCAGCCACACUGGAACUGAGACACGGUCCAGACUCCUACGGGAGGCAGCAGUGGGGAAUAUUGCACAAUGGGCGCAAGCCUGGUGCAGCCAUGCCGCGUGCAUGAAGAAGGCCUUCGGGUUGUAAAGUACUUUCAGCGGGGAGGAAGGCGAUGUGGUUAAUAACCGCAUCGAUUGACGUUACCCGCAGAAGAAGCACCGGCUAACUCCGUGCCAGCCGCCGCCGUAA